Molecule: long non-coding RNA, 347 nt
Filed under: Physcomitrium patens
Lineage: Eukaryota; Viridiplantae; Streptophyta; Bryopsida; Funariales; Funariaceae
Description: long non-coding RNA (PPAT_LNC000628)
Source: RNAcentral
AAAAAAUACCAAGUUUAUAUAUAAAAUUGUCCCUAUAGAAUCAAUUACAUCAAUACAUAAGCCCUAAGUAUCAAAGAUCACCAAAAAUGUGAUAAAAAUAUGAUAAAACCUUAAAUAUCCCUAAAAUGAAUUUUUUCCAAACUUCAACACCUCAUAUCUCAUGAUCGGACUAUCCAAACAAAUUCAAAUUUUACAUAAAGUACUUAUGUGCUUUUAAAAACUACCACAAUAAAUUUCAACUACAAAUUCAUUAUGGAUCUUGAGAUAUCUUCAAAAUCCUUAUAGUAGCUUCAAACCUUUGCUUACAUACACCUAUCUGUAAUUUUCUUUAUAUCUUACAAAAUAAG